AGAGUUUGAUCCUUCCUCACGACGAACGCUGGCGGCGUGCCUAACACAUGCAAGUCGAACGGAGAAUUUCAAUAAGCUUGCUUAGCGAAAUUUUUAGUGGCGCACGGGUGAGUAACGCGUGGGUAACCUACCCAUAAACCCGGGACAACCCUUGGAAACGAGGGCUAAUACCGGAUAAUCUUAAGGCUUGGCAUCAAGCUUUAAGAAAAGGUGGCCUCUGAAGAUGCUACCGAUUAUGGAUGGACCCGCGUCUGAUUAGCUAGUUGGUGGGGUAAAGGCCUACCAAGGCGACGAUCAGUAGCCGGCCUGAGAGGGUGAACGGCCACACUGGGACUGAGACACGGCCCAGACUCCUACGGGAGGCAGCAGUGGGGAAUCUUCCGCAAUGGACGAAAGUCUGACGGAGCAACGCCGCGUGUAUGAUGAAGGUCUUCGGAUUGUAAAGUACUGUCUUUGGGGAAGAACGGUAAUCUCGAAAAUAUUGAGGUUACAUGACGGUACCCAAGGAGGAAGCCCCGGCUAACUACGUGCCAGCAGCCGCGGUAAUACGUAGGGGGCAAGCGUUGUCCGGAAUUAUUGGGCGUAAAGGGCGCGUAGGCGGAUGUUUAAGUCCGGUGUGAAAGAUCAGGGCUCAACCCUGAGAGUGCAUCGGAAACUGGGCAUCUUGAGGACAGGAGAGGAAAGUGGAAUUCCACGUGUAGCGGUGAAAUGCGUAGAUAUGUGGAGGAACACCAGUGGCGAAGGCGACUUUCUGGACUGUAACUGACGCUGAGGCGCGAAAGCGUGGGGAAGCAACAGGAUUAGAUACCCUGGUAGUC
This 818-nucleotide ribosomal RNA is filed under the name uncultured bacterium. RNAcentral's name for it is "bacterial SSU rRNA". It matches the Rfam family "Bacterial small subunit ribosomal RNA", at positions 8 to 795 of the family's 1533-position model. The record is from RNAcentral.